Molecule: ribosomal RNA, 2859 nt
Filed under: Moraxella nasicaprae
Lineage: Bacteria; Pseudomonadati; Pseudomonadota; Gammaproteobacteria; Moraxellales; Moraxellaceae
Description: Moraxella sp. ZY201224 23S ribosomal RNA
Rfam family: Bacterial large subunit ribosomal RNA
Source: RNAcentral
GGUCAAGUAAUGAAGUGCACAUGGUGGAUGCCUUGGCAGUCAGAGGCGAUGAAAGACGUGAUAGCCUGCGAUAAGCGUCGGUGAGGUGGCAAUAUCCUGUGACCCGGCGAUUUCUGAAUGGGGAAACCCAACCAACCUAAGUUGGUUAUCUUAUCCUUUGGAUAAGAGGCAAACCGGGAGAAGUGAAACAUCUCAGUACCCCGAGGAAAAGACAUCAAUAGAGAUUCCCCAAGUAGCGGCGAGCGAACGGGGAGGAGCCGAUCAAACUUGUAGUAGCAAAAUGGCGUGGGAAAGCCAACCAUAGUAGGUGAUAGUCCUGUAUGCGAAACUGCAAAUGCGACAUAUUAAGUAGGGCGGGACACGAGAAAUCCUGUCUGAAGAUGGGGGGACCAUCCUCCAAGGCUAAAUACUCCUGACUGACCGAUAGUGAACCAGUACCGUGAGGGAAAGGCGAAAAGAACCCCUGUUAGGGGAGUGAAAUAGAACCUGAAACCGUGUGCAUACAAGCAGUCGGAGCGGACUUGUUCCGUGACGGCGUACCUUUUGUAUAAUGGGUCAGCGACUUAUAUUCUGUAGCAAGCUUAACCGUGUAGGGGAGGCGUAGGGAAACCGAGUCUUAAUAGGGCGACAUAGUUGCAGGGUAUAGACCCGAAACCGAGUGAUCUAUCCAUGAGCAGGUUGAAAGUGCCGUAACAGGCACCGGAGGACCGAACCCACUCCCGUUGAAAAGGUAGGGGAUGACUUGUGGAUAGGGGUGAAAGGCUAAUCAAACUCGGUGAUAGCUGGUUCUCCCCGAAAGCUAUUUAGGUAGCGCCUCGGACGAAUACCUUGGGGGGUAGAGCACUGUUUCGGCUAGGGGGUCAUCCCGACUUACCAAACCGAUGCAAACUCCGAAUACCCAAGAGUACUAUCCGGGAGACAGACGGCGGGUGCUAACGUCCGUCGUCAAGAGGGAAACAACCCAGACCGCCAGCUAAGGCCCCAAAUUCCUAGUUAAGUGGGAAACGAUGUGGGAAGGCACAGACAGCUAGGAGGUUGGCUUAGAAGCAGCCACCCUUUAAAGAAAGCGUAAUAGCUCACUAGUCGAGUCGGCCUGCGCGGAAGAUGUAACGGGGCUCAAACUAGGAGCCGAAGCUGCGGAUUUAAUUGUUUCAAUUAAGUGGUAGGGGAGCGUUGUGUAAGCCUGUGAAGGUGCAUCGUAAGGUGUGCUGGAGGUAUCACAAGAGCGAAUGCUGACGUGAGUAACGACAAAACGGGUGAAAAGCCCGUUCGCCGGAAGACCAAGGGUUCCAGUCCAACGUUAAUCGGGGCUGGGUGAGUCGACCCCUAAGGCGAGGCCGAAAGGCGUAGUCGAUGGGAAAUCGGUUAAUAUUCCGAUACUUGUUUAUGAUGCGAUGGAGGGACGGAGAAGGUUAUGUCAGCCUGGCGUUGGUUGUCCAGGUGGAAGGAUGUAGGUAGGCUUAGUAGGCAAAUCCGCUAGGCUAUUACUGAGAUCUGAUAGCAAGCUAGGUUUACUAGCGAAGUGGCAAAUACCAUGCUUCCAGGAAAAGCUUCUAAGCGAUAGUCAUAAAGAAAUCGUACCCGAAACCGACACAGGUGGUCAGGUAGAGAAUACCAAGGCGCUUGAGAGAACUCUGCUGAAGGAACUAGGCAAAAUGGUACCGUAACUUCGGGAGAAGGUACGCUGCCGAUGGUGAUAAGACUUGCUCUUUGAGCUGUUGGCAGUCGCAGAUACCAGGCUGCUGCAACUGUUUAUUAAAAACACAGCACUCUGCAAACACGAAAGUGGACGUAUAGGGUGUGAUGCCUGCCCGGUGCUGGAAGGUUAAUUGAUGGGGUUAGCGUAAGCGAAGCUCUUGAUCGAAGCCCCAGUAAACGGCGGCCGUAACUAUAACGGUCCUAAGGUAGCGAAAUUCCUUGUCGGGUAAGUUCCGACCUGCACGAAUGGCAUAAUGAUGGCAGCGCUGUCUCCAGCAGAGACUCAGUGAAAUCGAAAUCGCAGUGAAGAUGCUGUGUACCCGCGGCUAGACGGAAAGACCCCGUGAACCUUUACUACAGCUUUACAUUGAACUUUGACCUAACUUGUGUAGGAUAGGUGGGAGGCUUUGAAGUAGGGACGCCAGUUCCUAUGGAGCCAUCCUUGAAAUACCACCCUGGUUAUGUUGGGGUUCUAACUUAGAUAUAACAGUAUCAAGGACAAUGUAUGGUGGGUAGUUUGACUGGGGCGGUCUCCUCCUAAAGAGUAACGGAGGAGUACGAAGGUGCGCUCAGGACGGUCGGAAAUCGUCCAAAGAGUAUAAAGGCAAAAGCGCGCUUAACUGCGAGACCCACAAGUCGAGCAGGUACGAAAGUAGGUCUUAGUGAUCCGGUGGUUCUGUAUGGAAGGGCCAUCGCUCAACGGAUAAAAGGUACUCUGGGGAUAACAGGCUGAUACCGCCCAAGAGUUCAUAUCGACGGCGGUGUUUGGCACCUCGAUGUCGGCUCAUCUCAUCCUGGGGCUGAAGCAGGUCCCAAGGGUAUGGCUGUUCGCCAUUUAAAGAGGUACGCGAGCUGGGUUUAGAACGUCGUGAGACAGUUCGGUCCCUAUCUACCGUGGGCGUUGGAAAUUUGAGAGGAUCUGCUCCUAGUACGAGAGGACCAGAGUGGACGAACCUCUGGUGUUCCGGUUGUGACGCCAGUCGCAUUGCCGGGUAGCUAUGUUCGGAUGGGAUAACCGCUGAAAGCAUCUAAGCGGGAAGCCCACCUCAAGAUUAGAUUUCCCUAAAGAGCCGUUGUAGACUACGACGUUGAUAGGUUGGGUGUGGAAGCAUGGUGACAUGUGUAGCUAACCAAUACUAAUUGCUCGUUUGGCUUGACCAU